This 449-nucleotide ribosomal RNA is filed under the name uncultured bacterium. Its description in RNAcentral is "partial 16S ribosomal RNA". It matches the Rfam family "Bacterial small subunit ribosomal RNA", at positions 354 to 796 of the family's 1533-position model. The record is from RNAcentral.
GUGGGGAAUCUUCCGCAAUGGACGAAAGUCUGACGGAGCGACGCCGCGUGAGUGAAGAAGGCCUUCGGGUCGUAAAGCUCUGUCAUCAGGGACGAACGGCCGGUGGAGUGGAAAGCCACCGGAUUGACGGUACCUGAGAAGGAAGCCACGGCUAACUACGUGCCAGCAGCCGCGGUAAUACGUAGGUGGCAAGCGUUGUCCGGAAUUAUUGGGCGUAAAGCGCGCGCAGGUGGGAUCUUAAGUCCAUUUUGAAAGUUCGGAGCUCAACUCCGUGAUGGGAUGGAAACUGGGAUUCUUGAGUACCGGAGAGGAAAGCGGAAUUCCCCGUGUAGCGGUGAAAUGCGUAGAUAUGGGGAGGAACACCAGUGGCGAAGGCGGCUUUCUGGACGGUGUCUGACACUGAGGCGCGAAAGCUAGGGGGCGAACGGGAUUAGAAACCCGAGUAGUCC